CAUUCGACAUUUUCAAAAUUUGAAGUUAGAAAAGUAUGUAUAAUUAUUAUAAAUAUAUUUUAAAUUACUUAAUAUAUUUUAUAUCGUUAUCUAGAUUCUAUAAUUGCAGUGCUCCACUCGACAUUUUCAUAGAAGAAUAGAACUUUUAGAAGUGAACAAUAAUACCAAACAGAUUUAACAACAUCAUAUUUGGUAUUGGCACCUCAACAACCUCAACUGGUAUGAAACAAAAAUCAAUUAAGAAUUUCUUCAAGAAAUCAGUGCCAGUGAUUCCUGAGGUGGUGGAACUUAAGCAUCUUUGUGAUCGUGUUCGUGUAUUGGAAACUAGUGCUUUAACCUCAAAGCAAUCUAAAUCUCAAGAAGAUGACUAUCAUGUAUUGGAAACUGCUUUAACCUCUAAACAAUCUAAAUCUCAAGAAGAUGACUAUCAUG
Molecule: long non-coding RNA, 432 nt
Organism: Gordionus sp. m RMFG-2023
Lineage: Eukaryota; Metazoa; Nematomorpha; Gordioida; Chordodea; Parachordodidae
Exons: 4
Source: RefSeq, a predicted model, not a curated record